This is an RNA transcript of Cryptomeria japonica (Japanese cedar), 4656 nucleotides long. It is a transcript of the gene named probable RNA-dependent RNA polymerase 1, with no coding region annotated. The record is from RefSeq and is a predicted model, not a curated record. Lineage: Eukaryota; Viridiplantae; Streptophyta; Pinopsida; Cupressales; Cupressaceae. The transcript is spliced from 4 exons.
GAAGUUCCGAGAAUUUUCCUCUGGUUCACCCCAGCUGGCCUCUUCGGAGUGCAGCAACUUAAGAAGCAAGCAAGCCAGUCAACCGAUUGUAACAUAUUUUCCUAUACACGAAUACUGUAGCAGAAUUGACCAUGGUACUCUUCUAAUGGCGUUCUUACACAUGUGAAUUAUGGUACCGAGCACUCUCUUUCAUGGGUACGAAGCAUCACUCUGGCUUUGGCUGUGACUUAUGGUACCGAGCACUCUCUUUCAUGGGUACGAAGCAUCACUCUGGCUUUGGCUGAUAACAACAUUUGAUGUUUCAUGUAAUUAUGAUGUUUCUUAUAAUGCCGAUACUGUAGCGAGUACAAACACUCACGAAAAUCCUGUGACAAAGGAAGCGACCUUGAGCUUUCUCCAACUAGAUUCCACCCAAAAGCAGUCCACAAUUUGUAUUCUAUUUUUUUGUUUUGUACCACAUACAUUUCUUCGUUUAGAAGAAAGAAUAAUACCAAAUAUGAUACGGAGAUCAGGAGAACCAGAAGCUUUGAUAAAUGGGUUUCAUUCUAUGCAUCUGAAGUAUGUUUUAGUGAAAAGAUGAAAAGGCUCUGCAGAUCUCAAGUUUGUCAAGGCCUGAAAUUUGCUUUUACAGAAGAACCCAUUUUAGUAGUAUUCUCCUAAAUGGUUAGUUACACUGCCCUAAAAAUGAUCUGAUAUAAUUCUCUAGCAUUGUAUGGUGGGUUCAUUUUGCUUAACUGGAUCAGAAGUGGGAUUUGAAGAACUGUGUAGUUGCUUGAUCUUGUAGAUUCAAGGCCAAGGUUAUUUUUAAUUGGAAACCCUUCUCUGUAGUCCAUGUGCUUCAUAGAUAUUUGAGGGUCAAUUAUAAUUUGUCACAUUUAUGUUAAACAUUGCAUUGUAGUUCCUCCAGCAAUUCACUUCAACAGGCUUGGAUCAUAUGCUGAAUAUCAGAUAUUGUCCAGUGAUCAAUUUUUUAGUGCAUUGCUGUGUUAUUGUGAGGACAAAUUAUAGGGUAUGUCUCUGAUUGGGGUCAUCUUAAUGUAGUUGUACUUCUUGGGAGCUUACCCAUUCAACUAUCAAAUUUACCAGUAUGAUAAGGCUCCAAAGUGCUCAUUCGACAGCAUAAAGCAAUUACUGGGAAGGGGACUGUGUAUGCAUUGUAAACUAAGGACACCCAAUUCUAACAAAUCAAGGAUGUAUGCUCGUGCAGUUUGAAAGCCACAAGUUAGCAAAGGUAGUCCAUGAUUUGGUCAGCAGAGGUAAUAUUCUGCUACGUCACAACGAAUUAAGAACCCAAUUUCUAGAGAGACAGAGUAUCCAAGCCAAAAAGCAGAGGUAAUAUUUCGCUAGGUCAAAAUAAAUUAAGAGUCCAAUUUCUAGCGAGUGACAGAGUAUCCAAGCCAAAAUCCAUGACAAGUCGUAUCGAGGGAGGGAAGCUCUAUAUGGGCAACCUUAUAUCUCAGAAUGCAUUCUCUUUUCUAUGGAGUUCUGAUAAUUCUGCUGGUGUCGAGUUUGGAUUCGGUAUUAGGAAGCUGAGCUUCUCUCUGAAAGAGCAGUCAGUUGAGUACAAGUUGGAGCUUGGCUUCAGAGAUAUUCGGUAUAUACAUCUCCGUAAUGCAAAGGGUGUGAAGCUCCUUUUGGUUCAGUUGCUUGGCGCUCCAAAGAUUUAUUGCAAGGAAGAACCGUAUUCAAAUCAUAAUAUGGAAUAUGUUCUCGACAUUUUUAGGGACCUGCCCGACUUAUACAGGGACAGUAGUGAUACCUGGGUCAGAACAACAGAUUUUACACGGUCUUCUAGCAUAGGCCAAUCGUCAUCAGUAUGCUUUGCACUUCCCCAUGGCGGCAACAUUUCUCAAAUUCAACGGAAUUUUGCUCAUUACAAAGAAAUUGAAGAGCAGUUCUCCCUCGAAUCAGGGACUUCAUUUUCUUCAACAAGCUUGGUGCCAAUUUUAAGUCCUCCUGUGGAACUGAAUGUGCCUUUUGAAAUACUGUUCAAAGUAAAUUCACUUGUUCAGAAUGGAUUGCUCUGUGGGCCAAACCUCAGCACGGAAUUCUUCAAGUUGCUACAUCCUAAAUGGUUUCCUAGUAACUAUAUAAGUUGGGCUCUUGUACAACUAAAUAAUUUGAGAAACACAUGCUAUGAUCCAGCGAAAUUAAUUAAGAAAGAAUAUGAAAGUCCUAAAAAAUUCAGACAUUUAGGAAGGCACACCGUUCCACUAAAUGCUUAUCUGGACGAGGGCUUGAUGUGUGUCUACCGGGUACAAGUCACACCUUCUAAAGUGUACUUCUUUGGACCUGAAAUCAAUGUAUCCAACCGGGUGACACGACAGUAUGCAGAACAUAUCAAUGACUUUCUCCGUGUAAACUUUGUUGAUGAAAACUGGAAUAGACUGUACUCAAAUGACUUGUCCCCGAGAGUGCGGAAUGGUGUAGAAAGACGUACAAAACUAUACAAACGUAUUCUCACAGUUUUGAAGGAAGGUAUAGUGAUAGGGAGUAAGAAGUUUGAAUUUCUUGCAUUUUCAAGUAGUCAGCUACGGGAAAGUUCUGUAUGGUUCUUUGCUUCAAAUGGAAAAGUUAAUGGAAGGAGUAUCCGAGAAUGGAUGGGGGAUUUUUGGUCUAUUAGAAAUGUGGCAAAAUGUGCAGCAAGAAUGGGACAAUCUUUCAGUUCUUCAACAGAAACACUUCAUGUUUCUCAGUAUGAAAUUCAAAAUAUUCCAGACAUUCGUAUUGAGAGAGGGUAAAAAUUAUAAUUUUUCAGAUGGAAUUGGGAAGAUAUCUUCAUCCCUGGCAAAACAGGUAGCUGCAAAGUGUAAAUGUGAUAAUAUACCUUCCGCAUUCCAAAUAAGGAUUGGUGGUUACAAAGGUGUUGUAGCUGUGGAUCCUCGAUCCCCGUAUAAACUCUCUCUGAGGCCAAGCAUGAAAAAAUAUGAGUCAAAAAAUAGUAAUCUUGAUGUUCUUUCAUGGACCAAAUUCAGACCAUGCUAUUUGAAUCGCCAAAUCAUAACUCUUUUGUCUACUUUGGGAGUUGGGGAUGAGAACUUUGAGAAAAUGCAGGGAGAAGUAGUUAAAAAUCUAGAUCAAAUUUUGACUAACAGAGCCGUGGCCCUUGAAUACCUGCAAUUCAUGACUGUGGGUGAUUCUCACAAUGCUCUGGUAAGUAUGCUUUCAGCUGGCUAUUUGCCUAAUUCCGAGCCAUACUUGUCAAUGCUGCUUCAUGCAUUUCGAGCGACUCAACUGUUUGAAUUAAGAUGUAAGGCACAUAUAUUUGUUGCGAAGGGGGCAUGUUUGAUGGGCUGUCUGGAUGAAACUAGAACAUUGAAGUAUGGUGAAGUAUUUAUUCACGUUCCUCGCACUCCAGGAAACAAGCGAUUUCUUGAUUCAGGGCUUAUUGCAGCUCAAAAGUGGACCAUUGAUUCUGGAACUAGCAUAGUUGAAGGAAAAGUGGUAGUUGCCAAAAACCCGUGCCUUCACCCAGGUGAUGUACGUGUUUUAUCAGCGGUUAACAUCCCCAAUCUUCAUCACAUGAUUGAUUGCAUAGUUUUCCCUCAACAAGGGCAACUGCCCCAUCCAGACGAGUGUUCUGGUAGUGAUUUGGAUGGUGACCUAUAUUUUGUAAGCUGGGAUGCGUCUCUUAUUCCAUCUCAACAGGAUAAGCCAAUGGACUAUGCGGCAAAGCCAGAUGAAUUAUUGGACCAUGCGGUUACAAUUGAGGAGAUUCAAGAGUAUUUUGUCAAUUAUAUGGUAAAUGACACACUGGGAAUCAUAUCUAAUAGGUAUACUGUGUAUGCUGAUCUUGAGUCCCGCAUGGCUCGGAGUCCGAUUUGUCUAGAGUUGGCCAAGCUCUUUUCAACAGCAGUUGACUUCCCGAAAACUGGCAUUCCUGCUCAUAUUCCUGCUUAUCUAACUCCAAAAUGUUAUCCUGAUUUCAUGGAGAAAGAGGAUAAACCCAUGUAUGAAUCAAAACGAAUUAUUGGAAAACUGUACAGGUCUAUCAAGGAAGUGGCAACAGAGGCUCUUUUCAUAAAUUCAUUCACAAGGCAAGUUGCAGAGAAGGCAUAUGAUAAGGAUAUGGAGGUAUUGGGAUUUGAAAACUAUCUCGAGGAAGCAUUGAUGUGCAAAAACUGGUAUGACUCCAGAUUAGCUAUUCUAAUGUACCAUUAUGGGGUUAAGUAUGAAGCAGAGAUUGUCAGUGGAAACAUCUUCAGUUUAUCAAAGUUGCGUGGCUCUAGGCUUGGAGAUCUUAAAGAAACCAUCAUGACAGAAAUUAAGACUCUCAAAAAACAAGCAAGGUCAUGGUUUGAUGAUGGGGAAAGUAGCUCCAAUGGUGAUAAGUUUGCAAAAGCAUCUGCCUGGUAUCAUAUAACAUAUCAUCCUAAGUAUUGGGGUCUCGGAGAUUAUGAAGGGAAAGAUGGGAACAACCCUCAUUUUAUAAGCUUCCCAUGGGUUAUAUAUGAAAAGUUAUUGCGAAUCAAGCGCAAGGACUGGUUUUAAGGAAGUAGUCAGUAAAAUAAGACAAUUAAGUUGACAUGGUAGGGGUGUCUAUAAUAUCUUUAUUUGUUUGAAAGAUUGAUCUUAUUGAACAAAAAUACUUUAAAAUUAUAUUAGAUGUAUAAGGUGUAUUUAUAAAUGUGUUUGUACUUGUAUUUAAGAUUAUCA